AUGCACGCUGGCGGCGUGCCUCAUACAUGCAAGUCGCGCGAACAGACGAGGAGCUUGCUCCUCUGACGUUAGCGGCGGACGGGUGAGUAACACGUGGAUAACCUACCUAUAAGACUGGGAUAACUUCGGGAAACCGGAGCUAAUACCGGAUAAUAUAUUGAACCGCAUGGUUCAAUAGUGAAAGACGGUUUUGCUGUCACUUAUAGAUGGAUCCGCGCCGCAUUAGCUAGUUGGUAAGGUAACGGCUUACCAAGGCAACGAUGCGUAGCCGACCUGAGAGGGUGAUCGGCCACACUGAAACUGAGACACGGUCCAGACUCCUAGGGGAGGCAGCAGUGGGGAAUCUUCGGCAAUGGGCGAAAGCCUGACGGAGCAACGCCGCGUGAGAGAUGAAGGUCUUCGGAUCGUAAAACUCUGUUAUUAGGGAAGAACAAAUGUGUAAGUACUAUGCACGUCUUGACGGUACCUAAUCAGAAAGCCACGGCUAACUACGUG
RNAcentral lists this ribosomal RNA (495 nucleotides) under uncultured bacterium. RNAcentral describes it as "partial 16S ribosomal RNA". It matches the Rfam family "Bacterial small subunit ribosomal RNA", at positions 29 to 507 of the family's 1533-position model. The record is from RNAcentral.